This 535-nucleotide ribosomal RNA is filed under the name Trigonopterus sp. 625 MB-2015. RNAcentral describes it as "partial 16S ribosomal RNA". The record is from RNAcentral. Lineage: Eukaryota; Metazoa; Arthropoda; Insecta; Coleoptera; Curculionidae.
ACCUGGCUCACACCGGUUUAAACUCAGAUCAUGUAAAAUUUUAAAGGUCGAACAGACCUAAUCUAUUAGCUUCUACACCAACAAUUUAUUUUAAUCCAACAUCGAGGUCGCAAUCUUUUUUUUUGAUUAGAACUCUAUAAAAAAUUACGCUGUUAUCCCUAAGGUAAUUUUAUCUUAUAAUCUAGAUUCUAGGAUCCUACUAAACAUAAACAAAUGGUUAAAUACAAAAAAAGUUAAUUAAAUUUUUCCAUCACCCCAACAAAAUUUUUUUACUACUAAAAUUAUUUAUUUAAUCCUAAAUAUUAUUUUCAAUAAAAAAAUCAAACUCUAUAGGGUCUUCUCGUCUUCUAUAAUCAUUUAAGCUUUUUAACUUAAAAAUAAAAUUCUAAUUAAUUUCCAUAGAGACAGAAACUUUUUCAUCAAACCUUUCAUUCCAGCUUUCAAUUAAAAAACUAAUGAUUAUGCUACCUUUGCACGGUUAAAAUACCGCGGCCAUUCAACAUUUCAUUGGGCAGGCCAGACUUAAAAUUAUUAU